CCUACGGGAGGCUGCAGUGGGGAAUAUUGCACCAUGGAGGGAACUCUGAUGCCGCGACGCCGCGUGAGUGAAGAAGUAAUUCGUUAUGUAACGCUCUAUCUGCCGGGAAGAAAGUGACGGUACCUGAAAAAGAAUCUCCGGCUAACUACGUGCCACCAGCCGCGGUAAUACGUAUGGAGCAGGCGUUAUCCGGAUUUACUGGGUGUAAAGGGUGAGUAGGUGGCAGGGCAAGUACGAAGUGAAAACCUAAAGGUCAACCAUGGGAAUGCAUUAGAAACGGCUCAGCUAGAGUGCAGGAGAGGCAAGAGGAAUUCUUAGUGUAGCGGUGAAAUGCGUAGAUAUUAGGAGGAACACCAGUGGCGAAGGCGGCGUGCUGGACUGUAACUGACACUGAGGCUCGAAAGCGUGGGGAGCAAACAGGAUUAGAUACCCUUGUAGUC
RNAcentral lists this ribosomal RNA (440 nucleotides) under uncultured bacterium. RNAcentral's name for it is "partial 16S ribosomal RNA". It matches the Rfam family "Bacterial small subunit ribosomal RNA", at positions 338 to 795 of the family's 1533-position model. The record is from RNAcentral.